CCUAAGUUUCCCAUGUUCGAAGUAGAUUUCCUGGUUCCAUUUGUGAACCAGCUGAUCGUCGUCGGUUUUAAUAAGAGGUUGACGCCUGUUGGGUUCUAUCGGCGGUUUGCUCGCCGGGAAAAGUUCUUUAUCUUAACUUUCCGAACCGGUUAGAUGAUGCCACUUCCUUGGCAAUCGUUGGCAAAGUAAAUUUGGAUGCAGAUUUUGUUUAUUCAAACUAAAGUGACCGCAACAAGUUGGUUGGAUGCGGCCUUUUUAAAAUAGCUGGCCAACAACAAAUAGGAAGCAUCCGUAGGAUACGGCUUCCGAGGACUUAUGUAUCUACUUCUUGCAAUCCGGGGACGACAUUCCGCUUCCUUGGGGCGCUUGUUUAAUACUGAUAAAUCCCUUCGUGCACGAGAACUCGGCACAACUUUUAAGAUAGUGCUUGUUUUUGUGCCUCCCCGAAGAAGAAAAAAAGAAAACUGUAUUUGGCUUCACCAAACCUUUAUCGUCCGGAAAACCUAUUAAAGUUUCGCGGAUCUCUGCUUAUUGGGUCAGGAGGAAGAAAAUGGUUGGACUAUACAAAGUCUGCAAAUAGAACAACUGCAUUGGCAGGCACUCAUAAACACCAAUUUCAUUUACCGAAGAGAUGCGGAAGGAAAAAAUGGAUUUGGUCGAUAAGAUGGAAGAAACCUCAGAAGUUAUCGAUCAAUAAAUAACAACCGUACUAGGUAGCUGCAAAUAUUGACUCCCAAAUCGAAUAGAAGGAUAGGGGUCCGUCCAAAACCAAACAAACGGACCUUAAUCACCAUACGCCAAAAGUCUCUUAUAGGACGUGGCUGAUUUUGGUAUUUACUCCAUAUGAGAAGAUGAGCUGUCGUUAUAGACAAAG
Uranotaenia lowii is the source of this 874-nucleotide long non-coding RNA. RefSeq lists it as uncharacterized. The transcript is spliced from 4 exons. Lineage: Eukaryota; Metazoa; Arthropoda; Insecta; Diptera; Culicidae. The record is from RefSeq and is a predicted model, not a curated record.